AGUGAACGCUGGCGGUAGGCCUAACACAUGCAAGUCGAACGGCAGCACAGUAAGAGCUUGCUCUUACGGGUGGCGAGUGGCGGACGGGUGAGGAAUACAUCGGAAUCUACUUUUUCGUGGGGGAUAACGUAGGGAAACUUACGCUAAUACCGCAUACGACCUACGGGUGGAAGCAGGGGAUCUUCGGACCUUGCGCGAUUGAAUGAGCCGAUGUCGGAUUAGCUAGUUGGCGGGGUAAAGGCCCACCAAGGCGACGAUCCGUAGCUGGUUUGAGAGGAUGAUCAGCCACACUGGAACUGAGACACGGUCCAGACUCCUACGGGAGGCAGCAGUGGGGAAUAUUGGACAAUGGGCGCAAGCCUGAUCCAGCCAUACCGCGUGGGUGAAGAAGGCCUUCGGGUUGUAAAGCCCUUUUGUUGGGAAAGAAAAGCAGCAGGUUAAUACCCCGCUGUUCUGACGGUACCCAAAGAAUAAGCACCGGCUAACUUCGUG
Molecule: ribosomal RNA, 492 nt
Filed under: uncultured bacterium
Lineage: Bacteria
Description: partial 16S ribosomal RNA
Rfam family: Bacterial small subunit ribosomal RNA
Source: RNAcentral